UGCCCGGUCGGCUAACGGUAGGCCAACGGACUCUGAAUCCGUUUAUCUUGGUUCGAAUCCAAGCUGGGCAG
RNAcentral lists this transfer RNA (71 nucleotides) under Candidatus Roizmanbacteria bacterium CG_4_10_14_0_2_um_filter_36_9. RNAcentral's name for it is "tRNA-Gln". It matches the Rfam family "tRNA". Rfam says of the family: Transfer RNA (tRNA) molecules are approximately 80 nucleotides in length. Their secondary structure includes four short double-helical elements and three loops (D, anti-codon, and T loops). The record is from RNAcentral. Lineage: Bacteria; Candidatus Roizmaniibacteriota. RNAcentral also lists the same sequence under 1 other name.